Molecule: long non-coding RNA, 2474 nt
Organism: Cottoperca gobio
Lineage: Eukaryota; Metazoa; Chordata; Actinopteri; Perciformes; Bovichtidae
Exons: 4
Source: RefSeq, a predicted model, not a curated record
CCCACCACCACACACUUUAUGGUCUGCAUCCUGCCUACGACCACUGGGGCUGCAGCACCUGACAACAGAGGAAAAAGCACACCUGGAUCUUACCAUUGCUACAAAAUGCAGCAGAUUCAUGCCUGGCUUGUUGGCUUUGGUGUCAGCCAGUUUGAGCAGCGAUGAAAUCCGGAAACCAGCGGCGUUCCCCGCAUAUCCACCCUGAGAGGCCACAUACAAGACAUCUGGCUGCCACACACAGAGAGGUCACAGCAGGGUCAAACUCUUGUUGCAGAAUCAUGGCAUCCAGACGCAGCCGAAAACUAAUGGAAGAGGAAAGAGUGGGACGGAUUGACGGAUGAAUGGACAGGGGACUAUGGGUUUACCUGGGGACUUCCACCAACAGCAGCAGGAAAAGAUCAGGCUCUCCAAGCCAGCUCCGCUCCCCACUGAACCUCCUCAGGCGGGACUCCUGAGAGAGAGAGAGAACAGAUGCCAAGUCAUAUCUGGGAAGCAGCUUCGAUUGAAAUAACCAACAUGCCGUUAACAGUCAAUUCCAAUAUCUUUCAGUGCGAUCCUUCUCCGGAAACAGACCACAUCAUAUGGCAUGGUGUAAUGGCAAACAUUUGAUCAUCCUAACCAGAGCCAGAUGAUAAGUCAGAGAAGAGGGAGGGGAAGGGAAGGAAAGGGAGGUGGGGGGGUUGUCACUGUUUUAUUUGUAUGCCAAAAAAAAGGCUCUUUACCUCCUCAUUGUCAGGCAGCAAUUUGCAGAGCUCUGCAAGCAUCUCUGCUCCGUAACGGUCCCCAGCACCGUGCCUGAUAUCCUCAACUAUCUCCUUAGCAGGCCUGCAGAAAAAUGACAACAGACGUGUUUUUGGUGUGACAUCAUUGUUACUAGCGAUGGGGUUUUCCGCCUGACACCUCCCCAAGAAAACUCCUCAGUAUCAGCUCUUUGUUUUGCCUUGAUCACACAAUGUUUAGGCUUAUCCCAUUCUUAUCAGUCAGAGUGUUGGGGAAAGAGGGUUGGUUGGCGCCAAACUGGCGACACAAAGUGGCAUAUCCACUGGGCAAAUAACAAGCAGACAUGAAGAGAAAAUGUCUGAAAGGCCUUGGGAUGUCAAGGUGAAAGAACAUAAACUGAACUGACAGUUUGACCUCUGACUUACUUCUUCUGACUGAGUGACACAUCUAUCCAGAGGUUUUCCAUUAUCCCUUCCCCUCCCCCUCAUCUUACAGCCAUCACACAUGCUCGUACUCCAUUAUGUGCAUGCUACUGUGUGUGGCUUUCUCUCAGAGCUCAACAUUCACAUCCAUAUUCAAUUCUUUGACACCAACAGUUCAGGGUCUACCUAUGAAGACAUCAAUGACUUUUAUAAAAACUCUCUUUCAAAAUGGAAACGUGGUUUAAUACUCUUAUUGUGAGUUAUCUGCCCCAACUAGUUCUAUUGAAUACAAAAUGCUGAGUGAAAUGGCCUGUAAUACUGAACUGUCACAUAAUAAAAAGAUAUUGAAGUGACUACUCAGACACUGACAAUACAAAACCAUACUUAGAUUAAACUACAUCCACAAUUCAACAGUAGCUCUGUCUGUGUUUAGAACAGCAGGCAAAUAAGCUCCCAACCAGACAAAUGUUUGUGUGCACAAGAGGCUCUUUUUUUACAUAAUGGCUUUCCCUACAAGUCUUGACAAAUCUGGUUUAGAAAAGAUCUGCUCUGAAGUUGAGUCUCUGUGAGCAAUUCACGCACACGUGGAGGCACGACAAUAUGGCAACUCAGCACUUUUCCCACGUCUUUUUAUCUACCUGCAAAUGUUGCAUUAUGUCAUGACUUUCAACAAAACGGUAAUAACAAUGUUUCAGACAUUAAACUGCAUGUAAGUGUGCUUUAACGAUUAUUAAACUGCCCUAUUCAUCACAAGAAGUGCAGCUUUUGUUUGAGCCAGACAGGCAUGCUAAGCAGGCUUUAGGGGAUGGAUGAAUAUGACAAGUCACCAGUGGGGUCUCUCUCCGCAGGGGGUAGCUUUAACAUUAGACACUCUUUAAGGGCAUCAGCAGGUGUCAACUCUGACUCCUCGGGCUAUACCCGGUCAUUUAACCACCACCCUCCAACAAGACCCCCAGCCCCACUGCUCAGUUUUCACCCUCCCCUGCACCUGUCCCCUGCAACAUACCCCUGUCCCCUCCCUGACACCAGACUUCCUUUCUCGUGAUGAGACUUCACAUGUCUGACACACACUGACUGACACUCAGCGUUGAUAUAUGGCCACAGACUGCUUCAGCUCAAGUGAAGUAAUGUUCCCCAGGGCACUGUUGUACACACUUCUGUUUCCUGCUUUUUAAACUUUGACUGAUGGUGACCUCCAACAAAUGUAGACAAAAAGGCUGACAGCUGAGGCAGUUCAAGUGCAGAAUACUUGUCAGGGAUUGGGCUGUAACUUACGAUCAUUUUCAUUAUUGAUUAGUAUGCCGAUUAUUAUCUUGAUUCAUAACAUUUGUU